GAUGAAGAACGCAGCGAAAUGCGAUAAGUAAUGCGAAUUGCAGAAUUUCCGUGAGUCAUCGAAUCUUUGAACGCACAUUGCGCCCGCCAGUAUUCUGGCGGGCAUGCCUGUUCGAGCGUCAUUUCAACCAUCAAGCCCCAGGCUUGUGUUGGAGCCCUGCGGCUGCCGCAGCCUCCCAAAACCAGUGGCGGGCUCGCUAUCACACCGAGUGCAGUAGUUUACUCUUCGCUCAGGGCGUGUGGCGGGUGCUAGCCGUAAAACCCCCAACUUCUCAAGGUUGACCUCGGAUCAGGUAGGAAUACCCGCUGAACUUAAGCAUAUCAAUAAGCGGAGGA
RNAcentral lists this unclassified non-coding RNA (335 nucleotides) under soil metagenome. RNAcentral's name for it is "partial contains 5.8S ribosomal RNA, internal transcribed spacer 2, and large subunit ribosomal RNA". The stretch from base 1 to 121 matches the Rfam family "5.8S ribosomal RNA", at positions 35 to 154 of the family's 154-position model. The record is from RNAcentral.